Molecule: RNase P RNA, 490 nt
Filed under: Spirosoma arboris
Lineage: Bacteria; Pseudomonadati; Bacteroidota; Cytophagia; Cytophagales; Cytophagaceae
Description: RNase P RNA component class A
Rfam family: Bacterial RNase P class A
About the family: Ribonuclease P (RNase P) is a ubiquitous endoribonuclease, found in archaea, bacteria and eukarya as well as chloroplasts and mitochondria.
Source: RNAcentral
AAUACGAGUUGGCUUAUCGCGUCUGAGCAAUUAGGCGAGGAAAGUCCGGGCAGCAUAGGGCACCCUACUUCCUAACGGGAAGGAGGAUGGUUGGGAACGACCAUUCGACAGCCAGUGUCACAGAAAAUAUACCGCCAAUUUUUAAUGGCGAAUGAAUGAGCGAAUGUGUGAAUAGCUGGCGUAUGCUAUUAUUCUCCUAUACACCGCUUCGGCGGCCCGGUCAUUCGUUCACUCAUUAAGUCUUGGUAAGGGUGAAAAGGUAGGGUAAGAGCCUACCGCCCAACGGGUGACCGGAGGGGCAGGAUAAACCUUAGGGGCUGAAAGACCAAAUAAGCGUUGGAUGUGGGGCGGCUCGUUCCCGUUCUGGAGAAAUCCAGAUGCCAACGCGGGUAGGUCGAACGAGGUGGUCGGUGACGGCCAUCCCAGAUAAAUGAUAAGCCAUUCCAUUUUUGUGGGAGGACAGAACCCGGCUUAUAGACUCGUAUUGAGA